RNAcentral lists this ribosomal RNA (467 nucleotides) under uncultured bacterium. RNAcentral describes it as "partial 16S ribosomal RNA". It matches the Rfam family "Bacterial small subunit ribosomal RNA", at positions 28 to 507 of the family's 1533-position model. The record is from RNAcentral.
GAUGAACGCUGACAGAAUGCUUAACACAUGCCAGUCAACUUGAAUUUGGGUUUUUAACUUAGGUUUGGGUGGCGGACGGGUGAGUAACGCGUAAAGAACUUGCCUCACAGCUAGGGACAACAUUUGGAAACGAAUGCUAAUACCUAAUAUUAUGAUAAUAGGGCAUCCUAUAAUUAUGAAAGCUAUAAGCGCUGUGAGAGAGCUUUGCGUCCCAUUAGCUAGUUGGAGAGGUAACGGCUCACCAAGGCGAUGAUGGGUAGCCGGUCUGAGAGGGUGAUCGGCUACAAGGGGACUGAGACACGGCCCUUACUCCUACGGGAGGCAGCAGUGGGGAAUAUUGGACAAUGGACCGAGAGUCUGAUCCAGCAAUUCUGUGUGCACGAUGAAGUUUUUCGGAAUGUAAAGUGCUUUCAGUUGGGAAGAAACAAAUGACGGUACCAACAGAAGAAGUGACGGCUAAAUACGUG